RNAcentral lists this ribosomal RNA (1016 nucleotides) under Coperonus sp. 1 G20. RNAcentral's name for it is "eukaryotic LSU rRNA". It matches the Rfam family "Eukaryotic large subunit ribosomal RNA", at positions 74 to 858 of the family's 3401-position model. Lineage: Eukaryota; Metazoa; Arthropoda; Malacostraca; Isopoda; Munnopsidae. The record is from RNAcentral.
AUUCCUCGAGUAACGGCGAGUGAAAGGGGAGAAGCUCAGCGUGUAGCCUCGGGGAUGCCCUCCAUGUGAGUGUGUUAAUCCUACGAUGGGAUGCCACGUAAGGGAGAAUACUUGAAGAGUCUGCGGCCCGGCAAUCCGAACUGUUUGAUGAAACAUUGCCCAGAGAGGGUGUUAGGCCCGUAGGACCGUUGUUGUCGCGACUCUUCGCGGUAUUCUCUCGAGAGUCGGGUUGUUUGAGAAUACAGCCUUAAGAGGUGGGAAACUCCAUCUAAAGCUAAAUAUUACUGCGAGACCGAUAGCGAACAAGUACCGUGAGGGAAAGUUGAAAAGGACUCUGAAGAGAGGGUUCAAGAGAGCGUGAAACUGCUACGGGGAUAAAGCGGAUACAUUUGCGUAGUCGAAAAGGGAGAUACAGCUGGUUCCUGGUAACCUCCCGAUUAGUGUACGUAAGAAAUUCAACCCUUCAUUCUCGAGCUUCGGCUCGGGGUGUCGGAAAUUGGUCUCUUUCUGUAUGUUUUUUGGGUGAGAGUACAACCUUGAUCCGGUCUAUUUCACACCUUAGUAGGCCGCCGCGACGGUUGGAGAGUUGUCUAAGGCUCUUUGUAGUUGGGAACCUUUGGUCUUCCACUUGUGGUUGGCCAGAGGGGACGCUUCAUUGAAUUUACUGGCGGAUUCUCCGACCGGAGAAAUAAACGUCCCCCCGGGGACGUAAGUGCGACGCUAAUAGCGACUAAUUUAUCCGUCCCGUCUUGAAACACGGACCAAGGAGUCUAACAUGUACGCGAGUCAAAGGGCCUACUAAACCCCUAGGCGUAAUGAAAGUAAAGAAUUAAUGGAUUGAUCCGUGCUUCGUCCUUUUUAACAAAAUUUGUCGAGAAGUCGAACCGGCGCAAAUCCGGGACCCGUCUACUGCUUCUUUCGAUUUAUCGUUGGUUGUUCAUGUGGCGGGUACCUUGAGCGUACACGUUGGUACCCGAAAGAUGGUGAUCUAUGCUUGACCUGGGUGAAGCCAGAGG